AUCCGCAUUCCCCGGACUGUCGG
This 23-nucleotide non-coding RNA is filed under the name Cricetulus griseus (Chinese hamster). The record is from RNAcentral. Lineage: Eukaryota; Metazoa; Chordata; Mammalia; Rodentia; Cricetidae.